CAGAGGUCCCAAGCGUUGUUCGGAUUCAUUGGGCGUAAAGGGUGCGUAGGUGGCGCUGUAAGUCGGGUGUGAAAUUUCGGAGCUUAACUCCGAAACUGCAUUCGAUACUGCGGUGCUUGAGGACUGGAGAGGAGACUGGAAUUCAUGGUGUAGCAGUGAAAUGCGUAGAGAUCAUGAGGAAGACCAGUGGCGAAGGCGGGUCUCUGGACAGUUCCUGACACUGAGGCACGAAGGCCAGGGGAGCAAACGGGAUUAGAUACCCCGGUAGUCCUGGCAGUAAACGGUGCACGUUUGGUGUGGGAGGAUUCGACCCCUUCCGCGCCGGAGCUAACGCGUUAAACGUGCCGCCUGGGGAGUACGGUCGCAAGAUUA
Molecule: ribosomal RNA, 372 nt
Filed under: uncultured organism
Description: bacterial SSU rRNA
Rfam family: Bacterial small subunit ribosomal RNA
Source: RNAcentral